AUUGAACGCUGGCGGCAGGCCUAACACAUGCAAGUCGAACGGCAGCACAGUAAUUGCUCGCGCUUUCGGGUGCCGAGGGGUGGGUGGUGCAUGGGAAUAUGCCUGUCUGCGUGGUCUAGCGUCAUGACGUGGGGGAUCAUACGCCAUUCCUCCUUACGGCGUAAGGGGGGAAUCAUCGGACCUUCCGCUCUUGGAUGAGCCUAGGUCGGAUUAGCUAGUUGGUGGGGUAAAGGCCUACCAAGGCGACGAUCCGUAACUGGUCUGAGAGGAUGAUCAGCCACACUGGAACUGAGACACGGUCCAGACUCCUACGGGAGGCAGCAGUGGGGAAUAUUGGACAAUGGGCGAAAGCCUGAUCCAGCCAUACCGCGUGUGUGAAGAAGGCCUUCGGGUUGUAAAGCACUUUUGGUGGGAAAGAAGAGCAGUAAGUUAAUACCCCGCUGUUUUGACGGUACCAACAGAAUAAGCACCGGCUAACUUCGUG
This 484-nucleotide ribosomal RNA is filed under the name uncultured bacterium. RNAcentral's name for it is "partial 16S ribosomal RNA". It matches the Rfam family "Bacterial small subunit ribosomal RNA", at positions 30 to 507 of the family's 1533-position model. The record is from RNAcentral.